Molecule: ribosomal RNA, 785 nt
Filed under: uncultured bacterium
Lineage: Bacteria
Description: bacterial SSU rRNA
Rfam family: Bacterial small subunit ribosomal RNA
Source: RNAcentral
GGAUGAGUGGCGAACGGGUGAGUAACACGUGGGGAAUCUGCCUAGGAGUGGGGGAUAACAUUCGGAAACGGAUGCUAAUACCGCAUAUCUUCAUAGACCGCAUGGUCUAUGAAUGAAAGACGGCUUUGCUGUCGCUCUUAGAUGAUCCCGCGGCGUAUUAGUUAGUUGGUGGGGUAAAGGCCUACCAAGACAAUGAUACGUAGCCGACCUGAGAGGGUGAUCGGCCACACUGGGACUGAGACACGGCCCAGACUCCUACGGGAGGCAGCAGUAGGGAAUCUUCCACAAUGGGUGCAAACCUGAUGGAGCAAUGCCGCGUGAAUGAAGAAGGUCUUCGGAUCGUAAAGUUCUGUUAUUAGUGAAGAACAAAUCGAGGAGUAACUGUCUCGAUUUUGACGGUAACUAACCAGAAGGUCACGGCUAACUACGUGCCAGCAGCCGCGGUAAUACGUAGGUGACAAGCGUUGUCCGGAAUUAUUGGGCGUAAAGGGAGCGCAGGCGGUUGGAAUAGUCUGAUGUGAAAGCCCACGGCUUAACCGUGGAAGGUCAUUGGAAACUGUCCAACUUGAAUACAGAAGAGGUAAGUGGAAUUCCAAGUGUAGCGGUGAAAUGCGUAGAUAUUUGGAGGAACACCAGUGGCGAAGGCGACUUACUGGUCUGUAAUUGACGCUGAGGCUCGAAAGCGUGGGUAGCGAACAGGAUUAGAUACCCUGGUAGUCCACGCCGUAAACGAUGAGUGCUAAGUGUUGGAGGGUUUCCGCCCUUCAGUGCUGGAGUUAACGCAU